Molecule: non-coding RNA, 235 nt
Organism: Pelobates cultripes (western spadefoot toad)
Lineage: Eukaryota; Metazoa; Chordata; Amphibia; Anura; Pelobatidae
Source: the annotation of a GenBank genome assembly
CUGAAAUUAAAAUAUUCAAAUUGUAGCUAUAGCUUAGUUGGAGAAUUUUGCCAUUUGGGUUUCAAUUUACAAUAAAUGGAAGUAUGAUAAACCAACCAUUCUAUAGUUAUUAAUACUCCUUGAUUCAUUACAGUUUAGGCUUUUCUCAAGACUUGGCCCUCUUACUGAUAUUACAUAGAGUAGGAAUGCUUUCUCAUAAGGUCUUUUUUUAUAUAACAGGUAUUUGUUUUAUUGG